AAUAAACCUUUGGACAUUACUUCUGAUACUUGCAUAGCCCUGAUGAAUUUGUAUGGGAUCAUUUUAAAUUGCACCAUAUGAACUUGCAUGUUGACCUGCAUAUCUGUAAAAAGCCUUUUUGGAAUCAACCCCAAAUUUUAGAAGAAAAACUUUUGCGAAGAAAAAUGUAGUGAAAUGUUCUGGGUAGAGAAGGAGGGCCAGGCCUGGUAAGAUACGUUUGUGCUGGCAGUGAAAGGUACUGAUGUUAGAAAGGACGUGAUAAUGCAGCACUAUAGGAUGCUGUUGUGUGAAAAUCAUGAGAAGACUGCUCGUAUCAAAGCAAGUGAAAGUUAUUACUUCCAUCCCAUGCAAUCAUACCCAGGGAGCCUUGAAAUUCCCUGCCUGCAUUUUCUUGCACUGAUUUAACAAAUCAUUCUCACUGGUUUUAUUAUACUGGAAGUGUAAAUCCUGGCCUGACUGCCUUUCUAUGUCAGUAGGAAAUCCUAUUCAGCAGUGAUGAAAUUAAUGCCUGAAAGGACACGAUAAACUGAGGAAGAAUGAGAGACAGAAUGUCGUGUAUUUAAAAAAAAAAAAAAAAAAAAGAAAAGAAAAAGAAAAAAACAGAACAAGGAGCAGGGUUGCAUUAGGCUGUUUGACUUCAAAUGGCAAAUGCAAUUCUGAUGGUGAUGCUCUGUGUAGUGUUCUUUCAACCACUCACGCAAUCAAGAUGUGGGAAGCCUCCCUUUGGAGCAGGGAGGCAUAUUCAUCCUCAGGGCUUUCUUCAACACCUGCCACAUACAAAAUAGAUUUUUUCAUGUUUCAGAAAGCUUGAUUCCCAGUGCCUGCCUCCACACCCCUGCCCUCACCUGUGACUGUUUUACAGACUGGCUUUUCUGCUGGCCAAUACGGCUGUGAAGUACAGCAGAUUUGUUCCGCAUGGGUCAGUGAAUAUCCAGUCCAUAAUGCGCAGUUUCAGUUGCCAUUCCAGUUCUGUUAAAUAACAUCUUUCCUCUGAGGGCUGUGUGUGACAAACCAGCUGCUGGAAAGAUUUCUUUUUCCUGGAAGUUCAUACCAGUGAUGCACAGGGCUAGAGUUGAACCAGAGCCUCCUAAUGAAUGACUCUGCAAUACAAUCCACUGAGCCUCAGAAGACCUAACC
Molecule: long non-coding RNA, 1137 nt
Filed under: Gallus gallus (chicken)
Lineage: Eukaryota; Metazoa; Chordata; Aves; Galliformes; Phasianidae
Description: lncRNA (ENSGALG00010020688.1)
Source: RNAcentral